GAUGAACGCUGGCGGCGUGCCUAAUACAUGCAAGUCGAGCGAACGGACGAGAAGCUUGCUUCUCUGAUGUUAGCGGCGGACGGGUGAGUAACACGUGGAUAACCUACCUAUAAGACUGGGAUAACUUCGGGAAACCGGAGCUAAUACCGGAUAAUAUUUUGAACCGCAUGGUUCAGAAGUGCAAGACGGUCUUGCUGUCACUUAUAGAUGGAUCCGCGCUGCAUUAGCUAGUUGGUAAGGUAACGGCUUACCAAGGCAACGAUGCAUAGCCGACCUGAGAGGGUGAUCGGCCACACUGGAACUGAGACACGGUCCAGACUCCUACGGGAGGCAGCAGUAGGGAAUCUUCCGCAAAGGGCGAAAGCCUGACGGAGCAACGCCGCGUGAGUGAUGAAGGUCUUCGAAUCGUAAAACUCUGUUAUUAGGGAAGAACAUAUGUGUAAGUAACUGUGCACAUCUUGACGGUACCUAAUCAGAAAGCCACGGCUAACUACGUG
RNAcentral lists this ribosomal RNA (497 nucleotides) under uncultured bacterium. RNAcentral describes it as "partial 16S ribosomal RNA". It matches the Rfam family "Bacterial small subunit ribosomal RNA", at positions 28 to 507 of the family's 1533-position model. The record is from RNAcentral.